GAAGGCUCGGUUCGGUUCUGUCGAAACCAUCAAUAAGAUUCACAAAAGCCACAACACGAAACUAUCAAUAAGAUUUGCAGAAUAUCUCUUUACUAACUAAGUUAAAGCCUCACCUUAGUCAUCGAGAUCGUGGCUGAUCGUCCCAUCGCCGGCGAUAAGCCCGUCGGAGAGGUUAGCAAUCCGGUGAAGGAGCUUUUGGAUAAGAACAAGGACGGCGGUGAGGAGGAGAAGACGGUGACGUACACGGUGAGGCGAUCGAACCCAAUCCCUAUCCCUCGAGACGAUAAAAGACGACGACGACGAAAUCAUCCCAGGAGAAGAGAUCAAUCACGACAUUUUGGAAUCGAAAUCUACUGGUUUCAGGAAGUGGGGAGAG
This 376-nucleotide long non-coding RNA is filed under the name Brassica napus (rape). RNAcentral's name for it is "long non-coding RNA (BNAP_LNC005376)". Lineage: Eukaryota; Viridiplantae; Streptophyta; Magnoliopsida; Brassicales; Brassicaceae. The record is from RNAcentral.